GGGGGACGGAGAAGGCUAUGUUAGCCGGGCGACGGUUGUCCCGGUUUAAGCAUGUAGGCUGAUUGUCCAGGCAAAUCCGGAUAAUCAAGGCUGAGGUGUGAUGACGAGGCACUACGGUGCUGAAGUAACAAAUGCCCUGCUUCCAGGAAAAGCCUCUAAGCAUCAGGUAACAUCAAAUCGUACCCCAAACCGACACAGGUGGUCAGGUAGAGAAUACCAAGCGCUUGAGAGAACUCGGGUGAAGGAACUAGGCAAAAUGGUGCCGUAACUUCG
This 273-nucleotide ribosomal RNA is filed under the name Klebsiella pneumoniae. RNAcentral's name for it is "partial 23S ribosomal RNA". It matches the Rfam family "Bacterial large subunit ribosomal RNA", at positions 1467 to 1738 of the family's 2925-position model. The record is from RNAcentral. Lineage: Bacteria; Pseudomonadati; Pseudomonadota; Gammaproteobacteria; Enterobacterales; Enterobacteriaceae.